Molecule: unclassified non-coding RNA, 249 nt
Filed under: Glomeraceae sp.
Lineage: Eukaryota; Fungi; Glomeromycota; Glomeromycetes; Glomerales; Glomeraceae
Description: partial contains 5.8S ribosomal RNA and internal transcribed spacer 2
Rfam family: 5.8S ribosomal RNA (bases 1-71)
Source: RNAcentral
GUGAAUCAUCAAAUUUUUGAACGCAAAUUGCGCUUCCUGGCAUUCCGGGAAGUAUGCCUGUUUGAGGGUCAGUAUUAACAAAAAAAAGGUUUGGUUGCAAAUUGUGACGUUUUCGGAGUUGGGGCUAUCUUAAAUUUUUUGGUUAAGGGGCUUAAAAUUGAUGCUAUUUGUGCAUUUUUAGACGUACAUAAAUUUUUUUUUUUAUUGGUCUAUUUUUAAUGCCAAAAUGUUAUUAGGAGCGAUCAGAUC